GUGAAGCCGGGCUUUACAAAUUUCCCCCGAAUCUCCUGGGAGCAGCCAGCCUCUGAAGAAGCAAUAUUUGGAUGGGAAACUUAUGUCCUCCAAGCUGCUUAACUCCAUCGGCUCCUUGCCCUUUCCCAGGCAGGAGAGGGAAAAUCAGGGAGCUGGAGCACCAAAAGUGCUGGGACUGCAGGUGGGGAUGGAGGGAUCUCCAGGGACCGGAGUGAUUCCCUGAGCUGCCUCCCUGCCGUGGAGACCAUCAGGCUCAGGGAUGGGGAUGUGGUGAGGAAAAGCCAGUACAAACUACUGGGACAGGAGGAGCUGGGAUGGGAUUUCAUCAGGUGCCUGACCACCAGGAACCCGUGAGCGCGGGGUUUACAGGCUUUUUGCAUCUUUCCGUGAGUUGAAAAAUCUCCGAGAGACCAGAACCCUGAAUGUUUGCAAAUACUGCUUUCCAUCUGAGAGCUGCCCUCCAGAAAUACCACGGAAAAAGCCCCAGAAGCCACUCAGCCUGUUAUCUGUGUACCACAAAUAAAGAGGUAAACACUGCAAAAUUACUGGACUCUCACCUUUUCCACUAUUUUUCCCACGGAAAUCUCUCCCAAGCAAGGGGCUCCUGAAGCACUUUGGUGCUACUUUAAAAGAGAUCAGGCUGCUAAACUGCACAGGCAAUCUUCCCUGUGUGACUCAGGCUCACUGCAGCUCUGAUGUUAGUUUUUAUCCUCUUUGACCCCAUUUGUUGAUAACAAAA
Myiozetetes cayanensis is the source of this 739-nucleotide long non-coding RNA. RefSeq lists it as uncharacterized. NCBI's taxonomy places the organism in Eukaryota, Metazoa, Chordata, Aves, Passeriformes, Tyrannidae. The transcript is spliced from 4 exons. The record is from RefSeq and is a predicted model, not a curated record.